AAAGACUGGAUGGGGCACUUGGUGCCAUGGUCUAGUUGACUGGAUAGGUCUGGGUGCUAGGUUGGAGUGGCUGAUCUUGGAGGUCUCUUCCAACCUGGUUGAUUCUGUGACUAUCAGUAAAAUAUGAGUUUAAAAAAACCAAUCAAACAAUGGGAAAGGAUGAGGAAGCAGAAUUAUCCCUCACUGACUUUUAAAACACUGUGGAAGCUAAAAGGUAAAUUUAGAUAGCACAGACAUAAUGACCAUCUCAAUACUAGGGGGAGAAGUUUUUUUUUUCUCUGGUCUUGGUGAUUCCACACUACUAGGGGACAGUGGGAGAGAGUCAUGGGGAGUUUUAUCCUUUCAGUUAUAGGUGACUCUUGGAGUUAUUCCCCCACUUUGUCCCACAGAUGCCCAGAAGCAUUGUACAUCAUCUUCUGAGAUUGCUUGUGCGGUUCCUCCAGAAAGGAUUGAUUAGUAACUGAGAAGCUUGUUCACACACAGGAGAAAGUCAACUGAUAAACAACUGCUCAAUUCUUAGAUGAAGAUCUAAGGAGACAGCCUAAACCUUCUAGAUAAGUUUAGUUGUUUAGUAUAAAUUGCAACCCUUUUCUCAGUGCUGCUUUGUACAGACUGUCCUGAGGUUUUCCCUCUGGGUCUCAGGAAGAAUGACUGUAUAAGCAGAUAGGAGCUUAACCAGAAAUAUUCUGAUCAGCUUGAAUGGAAUGGUUGAAAGGAACCUAUGAUGAUCACCUAAUGCAACUGCUGUGCAGUCUGAUAGAACAGACCAUGUGUACUCUUCAGAUUCAGAAGGGUGAAAUGAGCUAACCUCACUCUGCACAAAGUUUCUCCUCACAGCAUUGCAGGCCCUGACCUUGCUCUCUGUGUCCACAGAGAGCUACAGUCAAUAGGAAGUUAUUGUGCCCUCCUAGAGAGACGUUCAUCCUUGUCCCUUUCAGCCUUAUUCACCUUAACAUCCCUAGGGAGUCCUCAGAACAAUGGAGGGGUUUAUUAACGAUGUUUGCAUACAGAAGCUUAUGCAGUGUUAGCAGCAAGGGCAGAGACCUACAGAGUGCAAAGCUCUCUCAGCUCUUGGUGAUUGCUAAAGGUGUGAGAGACAGCACCUUGUAGCAGAGAGCCUUGAGCAAGUCUCUCAUUUGUUAACAGGUUUCAGCUAA
This is a long non-coding RNA of Pogoniulus pusillus (Red-fronted tinkerbird), 1157 nucleotides long. RefSeq lists it as uncharacterized. The transcript is spliced from 2 exons. NCBI's taxonomy places the organism in Eukaryota, Metazoa, Chordata, Aves, Piciformes, Lybiidae. The record is from RefSeq and is a predicted model, not a curated record.